This 877-nucleotide ribosomal RNA is filed under the name Zasmidium sp. ZJUM 38. RNAcentral describes it as "eukaryotic LSU rRNA". It matches the Rfam family "Eukaryotic large subunit ribosomal RNA", at positions 25 to 938 of the family's 3401-position model. The record is from RNAcentral. Lineage: Eukaryota; Fungi; Ascomycota; Dothideomycetes; Mycosphaerellales; Mycosphaerellaceae.
CCGCUGAACUUAAGCAUAUCAAUAAGCGGAGGAAAAGAAACCAACAGGGAUUGCCCUAGUAACGGCGAGUGAAGCGGCAACAGCUCAAAUUUGAAACCUGGCGCUUGCGUCCGGAUUGUAAUUUGUAGAGGAUGCUUCUGGGCAGCGGCCGUUCUAAGUUCCUUGGAACAGGACGUCAUAGAGGGUGAGAAUCCCGUAUGUGACCGGCGCGCACCCUCCACGUAGCUCCUUCGACGAGUCGAGUUGUUUGGGAAUGCAGCUCUAAAUGGGAGGUAAAUUUCUUCUAAAGCUAAAUAUUGGCCAGAGACCGAUAGCGCACAAGUAGAGUGAUCGAAAGAUGAAAAGCACUUUGGAAAGAGAGUUAAAAAGCACGUGAAAUUGUUGAAAGGGAAGCGCUUCCAACCAGACUCCGCGGCGGUGUUCCGCCGGUCUUCUGACCGGUCCACUCGCCGCCGUGGGGCCAACAUCGUCUGGGGCCGCCGGAUAAGACCGGAGGAAUGUAGCUCAUUGAGUGUUAUAGCCUCCGGUGAUGCGGCGCGUCCCGGGCGAGGUCCGCGCUUCGGCAAGGAUGUUGGCGUAAUGGUUGGCAGCGGCCCGUCUUGAAACACGGACCAAGGAGUCUAACAUCUAUGCGAGUGUUCGGGUGUCAAACCCCUACGCGUAAUGAAAGUGAACGGAGGUGGGAGCUUCGGCGCACCAUCGACCGAUCCUGAUGUCCUCGGAUGGAUUUGAGUAAGAGCAUAGCUGUUGGGACCCGAAAGAUGGUGAACUAUGCCUGAAUAGGGUGAAGCCAGAGGAAACUCUGGUGGAGGCUCGCAGCGGUUCUGACGUGCAAAUCGAUCGUCAAAUUUGGGUAUAGGGGCGAAAGACUAAUCGA